CACUGUAAAGCUACUUGGCAUUAACCUUUUAAGUUAAAGACGGGGAGAACUUCUCUCUACAGUGA
Molecule: transfer RNA, 65 nt
Filed under: Sapajus apella (tufted capuchin)
Lineage: Eukaryota; Metazoa; Chordata; Mammalia; Primates; Cebidae
Also listed under: 6 other names
Description: tRNA-Lys
Source: RNAcentral